GACGAACGCUGGCGGCGUGCUUAACACAUGCAAGUCGAACGGUGAAGCGCCUUCCUUUUUGGUGGGUGUGGAUGAGUGGCGAACGGGUGAGUAACACGUGAGUAACCUGCCCCCUUCUUCUGGAUAACCGCAUGAAAGUGUGGCUAAUACGGGAUAUUCUGGGUCUGUCGCAUGAUGGGUCUGGGAAAGAUAUUGUUUCGGUGGGGGAUGGGCUCGCGGCCUAUCAGCUUGUUGGUGGGGUGAUGGCCUACCAAGGCGGUGACGGGUAGCCGGCCUGAGAGGGUGGACUGUCACACUGGGACUGGGACCAAGCACACACUCAUACGGGAGGCAGCAGAAGGUAUAAUUGCACAAUGGGCGAAAGCCUGAUGCAGCGACGCCGCGUGGGGGAUGGAGGCCUUCGGGUUGUGAACCUCUUUCGCCAGUGAAGCAGGCCUGCCUCGUUUGUGGAUGGGUUGACGGUAGCUGGAUAAGAAGCGCCGGCUAACUACGUG
RNAcentral lists this ribosomal RNA (494 nucleotides) under uncultured bacterium. RNAcentral describes it as "partial 16S ribosomal RNA". It matches the Rfam family "Bacterial small subunit ribosomal RNA", at positions 28 to 507 of the family's 1533-position model. The record is from RNAcentral.